UUCCAGGCUGCAAGGGCGGAGGAGCAAGGUCCUCACCAGGCCCAGCACCCCACCUGCUUUCCUUCCUGCUCCCGGUGGGCCCGACACCCACCUACUUCACCUCCCUGGUCCCUCUGGGCCUUCACCGGCCCAGCACCCUGUUGUCCUGUGAUCCUGGCCAACACUGAGCAGAGCAAAAGUUAGGUUUGCAAGUGGGACUCCGAGUGGAGAGCCACAUGAACUGCAGAGCCCUGGCAACCCAGCCAUUCCACAGAAGGACUGCCACCAAGGACUGCCACCAAACAUGGGACCCACAUUCCAUUGGUAAGACACGUGCAGCAGGUCACUCAGGGGACCCUGCACUUAACCUGAUGUCAGAAACAACAGGUUCAAAGGCAUGACAGUGAUUAAGAGUCUGAAUGUGCCUAUGGGGGAAAAAAAAUCUAACUCAUGAUAAUCCCCACUGUGGCCAGGAUAGUCACAGGGGUCAGAUUUAUUUUCCUGCCCAAAACAGCCAAGGAGACUGAGACAAAAUAUAUGGUUUCCAGACAGUAGACACGAGGAAAGGAAAGACAAUGAUUCCUGAGAGACAGGAGACACACAACGUGGUCCCCGUGAGCGCAGCAAAGAGUAGCCGGGGGGACCCCAGGUCGAGCCUGGCAGCUCCUGAGGUUGGGGUUUUCAGGACAGAGCAUGAGAGGGGGAGAGAGAGAGAAAUAUUCAAUAUACACAUUACACAUGUAUGUGAGGAAAAAACCACCAAAAGGUAUUAAGACAGUGCCUCUGCACUCACACCAGUCUGGUGAGCAGCCCCCAUCCCAGCCAGACUGGAAGCCUCACGAUCACGGCACAGCAGAGUCUUGCCUCAGUGAGGGAGAAGAACUGAUCUUGGGCUGAGCACUACUAUAGUCUUGCCUAACAAAUCUUAAAAGCAAGACCCAAGAAAAUUAAGCUGUUUCCAAGAAACUUAACUAUAUUCCAGAAAAAGGCUCUAAGAUAUAUUUGUUUGGACUUAAAAAAAUAUUGUUUUUGGUCCCAGCACAUGAAAGAGUAAAAUUUACAGCACCUGGCAUCUAAUAAAACACUACAAGCCUUGCAGAGAGUAAGGGAAAAAAAAAAACUCAUAAUAGGGAGAAAAAUCAAUUAAUUAAAACUAACACAGUACUGACACACAUUAGAAUUAGUAAGAGAAUAUUAAAAAUUAUUAUAACAGGUAUCUCAUAUGUUCAAACAAUUACAGACAUGGAAGAUAUAAAAAAGACCCAAAUCCAACUUCCAGUGAUGAAAAACACACCAUCUAAAAUUAAUAGCAGAGAGGAGGAGAGGGACAGGACGGGGAACUUGAAGACGCAGCCCUAGAAAUUACCCAAAAGGAAAUGAUGAUGACUGACAGAGCAUUGUGACAAUGUCAAGUGACCUAAUGUAUGUGUAUUUGGAGUCCCUGAAGGAAAGGAAGAAAUGAAAAAAAAAAAACCUCAAAGAAAUGAUAGGAAUUUUCCAAACUUGAUGCAAACUAUAAACUCAUGCAUUGAAGCUGAUCAAAGUAUCCAGUAUAAGAAACAUGAAGAGGCUCGGAGCCUGUGGCUUAAGCAGCUAAGGCGCCAGCCACGUACACAUGAGCUGGCGGAUUGGAAUCCAGCCAGGCCCGCCAAACAACAAUGAUGGCUACAACCAAAAAAUAGCCAGGCGUUGUGGCAGGCGCUUGUAGUCCCAGCUACUUGGGAGGCUGAGGCAGGAGAAUUGUUUGAGCCCAGGAGUUAGAGGUUGCUGUGAACUCUAAAGCCACGGCACUCUAUUCAGUGGGACAGCUUGAGGCUGUCUCCAAAAAAAAAAAGAAAUAUGAAGAAAACACACCAAGGCAUGUCAUAAAGGCAAUUUUGUCGAAACAACUGCAAAGAAAGAGUAUAAAAGCCACCGGAGGAAACAAAGACAUGCACAGAAAAAUAAGAACAAGGGAGGCAGCAAAUUUCCUGUUUGAGACGACGUAAGUGUGGGAAACGCCAUGAAAACACCGGCAGACAAAAUCUGCCAACUGAGAACCCUGUACCAAGACGUUAUUCAGAACGAAAGAUAGACAAGGACUUAGCAACAAAAGCUGAAGGGAUCCAUGACCAGAAGGCUAACACUACAAAAAAAUGUCAAAAUAGCCAGGCGCGGUGGCUCAUGCCUGUAAUCCUAGCAUUCCAGGAGGCAGGUGGAUUGCCGAGCUCAGGAGUUCCAGACCAGCCUGAGCCAGAGACCUGUCUCUACUAAAAACAGAAAAACUGAAGCAAGAGGAUCUCUUGAGCCCAAGAGUUUGAGGUUGCGUAGAGCCAUGAUGAUGCCGCAGCACUCUACCCAGGGUAACAGAGUGAGACUCUGUCUCCAAAAGAAAAAGAAAAUGUUGAUGAAAUCUACAGAAAAGGUGCUAAACUAGUAAGUUUAGCAAAGUUACAGGAUGCAAGAUCAAUAUACAAAAAUCCACUUUGACAGUAUUUCUAUAUUCUUGCAAAGAAUAAUUGCACAUUGAAAUAUUUAAAAUAUAACAAAGCCCAAUGGGUCAGGGAUUAAAAAGCCAGGUACUUGGGGGUGGGGGGGACUUUGUCUCCAAACCUUUGUCUCCCCCCUGGGAGGGUCGGCCACAGAGCUUGGUGUACAGUGACCUGAAGAGGAAUGACUGUGGUUUAAAGUCCUUUCUUCAUCUAAGUUGUCACUCAGAUGUGUGAGGGUGACAAAAAGACUACCCUCUUUAUGCAAGAGAUAAGAAAUCAGCACCUUUUGCCCUUUUCUGGAAAAAAAGACAAAGACCUAGUCCAAUUCCAGGCAACCAAGAAAAGGGUCAAAAAGAGAAUAUAGGGUGGCGCCUGUGGCUCAAGGAGUAGGGCAUCAGCCCCAUAUACCAGGGGUGACGGGUUCAAGCCUGGCUCCAACCAAAACUGCAAAAAAAAGA
This is a long non-coding RNA of Nycticebus coucang (slow loris), 2908 nucleotides long. RefSeq lists it as uncharacterized. The transcript is spliced from 2 exons. NCBI's taxonomy places the organism in Eukaryota, Metazoa, Chordata, Mammalia, Primates, Lorisidae. The record is from RefSeq and is a predicted model, not a curated record.